AGCAGCCGCGGUAAUUCCAGCUCCAAUAGCGUAUAUUAAAGUUGUUGCAGUUAAAAGCUCGUAGUUGAAUUUCGGGAUCAAUAUGUUGGUCGUACCAUUGGUACGUACUGGCAUUAUUGAUUCCUACCUUCUGAAGAAUCUUGAUGUCAUUAAUUUGGUGUCUUGGGAAAUCAGGACUGUUACUUUGAAAAAUUGAGUGUUUAAAGUAGGCUCGCGCUUGAAUACAUUAGCAUGGAAUAAUGAAAUAGGACGUUUGAUUCUAUUUUGUUGGUUUCUAGGAUCGAUGUAAUGAUUAANAGGGAUAGUUGGGGGCAUUAGUAUUCAAUUGUCAGAGGUGAAAUUCUUGGAUUUAUUGAAGACUAAACUACUGCGAAAGCAUUUGCCAAGGAUGUUUUCAUUAAUCAAGAACGAAGU
RNAcentral lists this unclassified non-coding RNA (414 nucleotides) under uncultured Glomus. Its description in RNAcentral is "SSU rRNA". It matches the Rfam family "Eukaryotic small subunit ribosomal RNA", at positions 569 to 990 of the family's 1831-position model. The record is from RNAcentral. Lineage: Eukaryota; Fungi; Glomeromycota; Glomeromycetes; Glomerales; Glomeraceae.